UCCCAAAGUGCCGAGAUUGCAGCCUCUGCCCGGCCGCCACCCCGUCUGGGAAGUGAGGAGUGUCUCUGCCUGGCCACCCAUCGUCUGGGAUGUGAGGAGCCCCUCUGCCUGGCUGCCCAGUCUGGAAAGUGAGGAGCGUCUCCGCCCGGCCGCCAUCCCAUCUAGGAAGUGAGGAGCGCCUCUUCCCAGCCGCCAUCACAUCUAGGAAGUGAGGAGCGUCUCUGCCCGCCCGCCCAUCGUCUGAGAUGUGGGGAGCGCCUCUGCCCCGCCGCCCCAUCUGGGAUGUGAGGAGUGCCUCUGCCCUGCCGAGACCCCGUCUGGGAGGUGAGGAGCGUCUCUGCCCGGCCGCCCCGUCUGAGAAGUGAGGAGACCCUCUGCCUGGCAACCACCCCGUCUGAGAAGUGAGGAGCCCCUCCGCCCGGCAGCUGCCCCGUCUGAGAAGUGAGGAGCCUCUCCGCCCGGCAGCCACCCCAUCUGGGAAGCCCUGUCCUACCAUGAGCUGAAGAGGCAGCAACAUACGUGUUUGGAGUUUAGUAGGGACUGAGAAGCGGGGAAAAGAACUGCCUAACCAAAGGGAAUCUGUGUGAGAAGGCAUGCCUUCAUACUUCAGGCAGUUUACAAGACAGCCUUAGCUUUCGUUUUCUGCUUGCUACAGAGCCUUAAGGUCAGCCAGAAGCGAGUGACUGGAAACUUCUUCAUUCCCAUCUCUCUCCUGGCAUCUCACCAUUGUCACAAUGACUGCCAGUUCCCAGGCCUCAACCUGGAAUCUCAGAAGCAACUCUUUUUGUACAGCUGAGGGGCACCUGGAACAUAGAAGUUAAGAAGAGAUCUGGCUGGGAUCAAGAAACCUCUUUUCACUGCACCUGAGGCUCAGUUGUGCCCUCUGCUGACACUAGGUCAGGAGGCUGGACAGCUCCAACUGGAAACUUGGAGCAGGGUUUUAAGACCUCUGCUUUCUCACUUUGAAGAAUUGGAAUAGAAAAAUAGAAAAUACAAAAAUGAUGAGUCCUUGGAAUUGAUAGGACACGUAGACUUGAGAGACUUGAACAUGUUUUUUGUCUGUUUGAUUCCCUUCUCUAUUCCCAGUGUUUCGAGCAGUUCUAGUCCAUGGUAAGUGCUCAGUAAAUAUUUGUGCUGAUGAGCAAGCAAAAGGCUGUUCUGCU
RNAcentral lists this long non-coding RNA (1163 nucleotides) under Homo sapiens (human). Its description in RNAcentral is "HSALNT0390963". The record is from RNAcentral. Lineage: Eukaryota; Metazoa; Chordata; Mammalia; Primates; Hominidae.